RNAcentral lists this ribosomal RNA (464 nucleotides) under uncultured bacterium. Its description in RNAcentral is "partial 16S ribosomal RNA". It matches the Rfam family "Bacterial small subunit ribosomal RNA", at positions 28 to 507 of the family's 1533-position model. The record is from RNAcentral.
GAUGAACGCUGGCGGCGUGCUUAACACAUGCAAGUCGAACGGAAAGGCUCCUGCUUGCAGGGGUACUCGAGUGGCGAACGGGUGAGUAACACGUGGGUGAUCUGCCCUGCACUUCGGGAUAAGCCUGGGAAACUGGGUCUAAUACCGGAUAGGACGAUGGUUUGGAUGCCAUUGUGGAAAGUUUUUCGGUGUGGGAUGAGCUCGCGGCCUAUCAGCUUGUUGGUGGGGUAAUGGCCUACCAAGGCGUCGACGGGUAGCCGGCCUGAGAGGGUGUACGGGCCAAUGGGGAUAGGGGAAGGACCAAGGGGCAAAGGGGAAGAAGGGGUGGGAAAUAGUUAAAAAGGGGCGGAGGCCAGGGGGAGGGCCGCCGGGGGGGGAAGGACGGCCUGCGGGGUGAAAGCCCGUUAAGCUAGGAACGAAGCGCAAUGAACGGACCCUGGGAAAAAAGCACGGCUAAAUUAGGG